Molecule: ribosomal RNA, 191 nt
Filed under: uncultured bacterium
Lineage: Bacteria
Description: partial 16S ribosomal RNA
Rfam family: Bacterial small subunit ribosomal RNA
Source: RNAcentral
UACGGGAGGCAGCAGUGGGGAAUAUUGCACAAUGGGCGCAAGCCUGAUGCAGCCAUGCCGCGUGUAUGAAGAAGGCCUUCGGGUUGUAAAGUACUUUCAGCGGGGAGGAAGGGUCGCUGGUUAAUAAUACCAGCGGCAUUGACGUUACCCGCAGAAGAAGCACCGGCUAACUCCGUGCCAGCAGCCGCGGU